Non-coding RNA from Acanthosepion pharaonis, 98 nucleotides. Lineage: Eukaryota; Metazoa; Mollusca; Cephalopoda; Sepiida; Sepiidae. The record is from the annotation of a GenBank genome assembly.
UAGAAACACCGGUUCCUGUAAAAUCACCGUAGUUAAGCAACGUGGAACCUGAUUAGUACCUAAAUGGGGGACCGCUUAAGAAUACCAGAUGCUGUAAG